AAACAUGUCCUUUUGUUAUUUAUUUAAGGUCUAGCCUGCCCAAUGAUUUAUUUAAUGGCCGCGGUAUUUUAACUGUGCUAAGGUAGCAUAAUCAUUUGUCUUUUAAUUGAGGGCUGGAAUGAAGGGUUGGACGAGAUAUUAACUUUCUUUAAUUUAAUUAUUGAAUUUAAUUUUUAAGUGAAAAAGCUUAAAUUUAUUUAUUGGACGAGAAGACCCUAUAGAUCUUGACAUUUCAUUUGUUUAUAAUGUUUAGAAUUAUUAAUUUAUUAUGAAUGAAUAAGUGUUUAAUUGGGGUGAUUGCGAAAUUAUUAUAACUUUUGUUUAUUGUUUCAUUGGUUGGUGUUUUGUUGAUCCAUUUUUAUUGAUUAUAAGAUUAAGUUACCUUAGGGAUAACAGCGUAAUUUAUUCGGAGAGUUCAUAUUGAUGAUUAAGUUUGCGACCUCGAUGUUGGAUUAAAAUUAGUCUUGGGUGCAGAAUUUUAUAGACUGGGUCUGUUCGACCUUUAAAAUUUUACAUGAUCUGAGUUCAAAACCGGAGA
Molecule: ribosomal RNA, 538 nt
Filed under: Apronius octonotatus
Lineage: Eukaryota; Metazoa; Arthropoda; Insecta; Hemiptera; Reduviidae
Description: partial large subunit ribosomal RNA
Rfam family: Bacterial large subunit ribosomal RNA
Source: RNAcentral